UCAGCUUCUACCUUAAUAACAAGCAGAGCUCUGCAUUUCUCUAACAUUGUGACAUCAUGGCAAGAGUGGCAGGAGAGAAGAUGUAUGUUCAGAGGCAGCCUGAGCUGCCUGUGUUCCCAAGGCAUCCUUUCUAAGGAAUCCAGGCCAAGGUCACCACCACCACACGUGCUUUCUGUGGCAGCCUCAUAGCAGAGAUGUCAUUGGCAAUGUUGAGCCUUCUGAAGAGGAAAAGACAGCCAGCGCUUCUGUUGUUCUCAUAUUCUGCAUAUUUUAUUGCCUUCACCAAUGGAUGGCAACACAAAGUUUUGUGCACCAUCUCCUCAGUCAGAGAUAUUCCUGGGUGGCAGUAAUAAGAAGUGCUUACCUGUUCUCAUUCAGCCUCUUCAAAACAGGAUCUACUGAUUGUUAAUACAGUGGUGCCUCUGCCGUUUCAUAAAGGUCAUUCUGUCACAAAUCUUGUCUGCAGAGGCUCAUUCAGCUAAAGGUUUGGUUUCAGGACGAAAAAUUGUGAAUCGUUUGAGACUGGGCUCUAUCACCUUCAAACCUUCUGGAAACUAUGACUAUAAGGAUCUUCAAGCAGCAUGGGAGAGUAAGAGCACCACCUGCAGUACCUAAUAAAUUGUCCAGCCUAUGGGUUUCACCUUGCUCCCUUCCAGACUUUGUAGUUCCUAUUGCUAAAGAAGCAUCUGCAUUUCAGUUCUCUCACCUGCAAAAAAAAGAGGGCAUCUGUAAGAUUGAGAACUUCAUGGAGCAUGUAUUCUCCAUGUGUAAACACAAGAAAUGGCGCUUGGACCUGUUUUCUUCAAACUCUUCUGCCUGCAAUUAAUAGCUGUUUAAGACUCACAGGAGCAAUCUGGUUUGGCAGGGGUGAAAUAUUUUGUAAAACUGGAACCUGUGACCAUUUGGGAAGCAAAUCUUGCAGCAUCCUUGAUGUGGCUCUCCAGGAAGAGAUGGAAAUUUUCUACAAUUGCUCUUCAUUAGAGAGGGCAAUAGCAAGUCUUUUUAGUCCAUAAGCCUCCGGACCUAGAAGAGCCACAUAUGGGCUAACACAGAGAUGACUGCACAUCACCCAAAGACCUAGGACUUUAAGCUAAGUCUGUGACUGGCUGGAAUUUUUAUGUAAUCUCCCGCGGGAAGCUAUUAAAAGUGACCCAUCUGUUGGAAGAAGAGAGCAAAGGGCCAUUUGGUGACUAGAAGGGUAAACUGGGGCAUAGACAGUAAUGCUCACCAAAUAUUCUACUUUCUGCUUCAUUUCCACCCAUGUGACUGGUGAUGGCCAAUGAACUCUGAGUGGAAGCAAAGCAUCACUUCAGGGCUGAGGUAAUGAGAAGCCCACACCUGAGCUACAGCCUCUCUUUCCUUGAUGUGGAGACUGAGCAUGCCUCUUGUUCCAGAAAGUACAGUUACAAGAGGAAAACUCUUUGUCAGAUCUAUC
Molecule: long non-coding RNA, 1435 nt
Filed under: Equus caballus (horse)
Lineage: Eukaryota; Metazoa; Chordata; Mammalia; Perissodactyla; Equidae
Description: lncRNA (ENSECAG00000030520.3)
Source: RNAcentral